This 73-nucleotide transfer RNA is filed under the name Monodelphis domestica (gray short-tailed opossum). It matches the Rfam family "tRNA". Rfam says of the family: Transfer RNA (tRNA) molecules are approximately 80 nucleotides in length. Their secondary structure includes four short double-helical elements and three loops (D, anti-codon, and T loops). Lineage: Eukaryota; Metazoa; Chordata; Mammalia; Didelphimorphia; Didelphidae. The record is from Rfam by way of RNAcentral.
GACUCUUUGGUGCAGUAGGCAGCAUGUCAGUCUUGCAAGCUGAAGGUCCCCAGUUUGGUCCUUGGAAGUGUGG